CGUGUAGGCGGGUGUUUAAGUCAGGGGUGAAAUGCCAGGGCUCAACCUUGGAACCGCCCUUGAUACUGGAUAUCUUGAGUCCGGGAGAGGUGAGUGGAACUGCGAGUGUAGAGGUGAAAUUCGUAGAUAUUCGCAAGAACACCAGUGGCGAAGGCGGCUCACUGGCCCGGAACUGACGCUGAGACGCGAAAGCGUGGGGAGCAAACAGGAUUAGAUACCCUGGUAGUCCACGCCGUAAACGAUGGAUGCUAGCCGUUGGGGAGCUUGCUCUUCAGUGGCGCCGCUAACGCAAUAAGCAUCCCGCCUGGGGAGUACGGUCGCAAGAUUAAA
Molecule: ribosomal RNA, 330 nt
Filed under: uncultured bacterium
Lineage: Bacteria
Description: bacterial SSU rRNA
Rfam family: Bacterial small subunit ribosomal RNA
Source: RNAcentral